GUGUGAAAUGAUGGCAAUCAUCUUCUGGGAUUGACCUGAGAUGAAGAGAAUACUCAUUGCUGAUCUCUU
RNAcentral lists this small nucleolar RNA (69 nucleotides) under Colobus angolensis palliatus. Its description in RNAcentral is "Small nucleolar RNA SNORD2 (ENSCANG00000012402.1)". It matches the Rfam family "Small nucleolar RNA SNORD2". Lineage: Eukaryota; Metazoa; Chordata; Mammalia; Primates; Cercopithecidae. The record is from Rfam by way of RNAcentral.